Tetranychus urticae (two-spotted spider mite) is the source of this 3416-nucleotide non-coding RNA. The record is from RefSeq and is a predicted model, not a curated record. Lineage: Eukaryota; Metazoa; Arthropoda; Arachnida; Trombidiformes; Tetranychidae.
UACCCUAAUGGUGAUUAUCAACGGCGAUGAUCUUUGAACGACUGAGAAAUUUCAACAACACUGUCAAUGGGAAACAGCAACGCUUCAAAUUGCGCGUAGUGUUAAUUGAAGACAUUCAGGCGAUGAUUACACGAAAUAAACUCACUUGGCUACGAAGAUUCAGAUCUGUUGGAUCGAAAUGGUGACUGGUCAAUCAUUAUAAACCUAACGAAAUAUGAUACAAAAUAUUAUGCAAACUAUGGUCAGAAUGUAAGUCAAUCUUGAAAUUUGUGGUGUCCAUUCGAUGAAUAACUUUCCAUGGAACAUGUUGGAACAUUUUCUGCAAGUUUGAAACUUUCUCCUACAAGAUUAACUUAAAAAUUUCAACCGAGUUAUCUUUGAUUUUUAAUUAAUGAACAUUAUGUUUUGUUUUGUAUCAUCAUCACAACUUUACCACCAAUGGCGAUCUGAAUCAACAAAAUUGUGCAUCACUUCUCAACUUGAUUAACAAUGGCCGGAUGAGCUUGGAAUCAUAAUCGUUAAUUAUGCGUUAAUACGCCAAUUAAAAUAUCAUCAUACAUUUACAAUUCAUAUCAAUUGAUAAUUGAUAAUUGUAGGUUAUUGGAAUCAUCAUAAUCAUCAUCAGCAUUACUGAUUAGGAAGAUGGAGUGAAGGAGGAAAAAGAGGCAAGUUGCAAGAAAAAAGAAAGUUGAAACAGUAAAGAAACCAUCAAUUUGUUGAAAUCCAGAUUUAAUCAAAGUUAAAUCAAGUUAGAUUGUAGUUGAAUAGGCCAGAACGGAGAAGAACCAGUAAAAUAAGAUGAUAAUAAAGAACGAAGAAGGAGAAAGUCAACCAACCAAGCAACCAGCGAACCAACAAAAAAAGAUUAUUUCAUUAUCAACACAGCGUAGGACAACUCCCACAAUAAAUUAGAUAAUUACAUUUACUCUCCACAUCAGCAUAACCUCUGACGAUUUACGGUCACUAAUCAAACGUGUCUGAACGCGAGGAUCGUCCUCAUUCAAAUAUUCAAACUCUUCCUCAAUGUGCUUACAACUUGGCCUUUUCUGGUUAUUAUUCUUACCAUUUUCCUUCAAGAUUUACUGGGAUAAUCAAUGGCACGAUUGGAUUUAUUGUGUGCAUGUGUAUGAGAAACCUUCAAACUGGAAAGCGGUCAAGAGAUUUAGGGAUGGAGAAAAGCUAAUCAUGAUAUUGAUGCUAAAAGUGAUAGUUGCAAGAAUCUGAUGAUAAAAGAAGAAGAACAAAAAAAAUGUUGAAAAAGAUUUGGUAAAACUGAAAAGCAAAGAAAAGAAGAAGAAGAAGAAAAAAAUAAAAGAAGAAAGUAACUCAAAUCCUGUUCUGGUUAAUCAAACAAGUAAUGAUGUAAAGAAUUGAUGAAGAUAAGAUGACCAAUUGGAAAGAUUGAUGGGGUUGAGAGAUGAUUGUUUGUUUUGCUCUUAAAUAUUAUGACAGUAAUCUAUGCCUGUUGAUAAUUGAGUGAAUCUAAUUUCAUUUAAAUUAGUAAUCUUCAAUAUGAUUCUCGAUUCAUCAAGCAUCCCGAAACCAAAUAAUGAGGAUAAACCUUAUAUGGAAACGUAAAUGAUGAUGGUGAUGAUGAAACUUUUUUUUACCAAAACAAGAUCAAAUGAAAGUGAAUUCUGAUCAGGAAAAGGUGGAAAGUCAACUUGAAAGAAACCCAUUUAUGGAAAUGAAAUUGAUUAUAAAUAUUGCAGCAUCGAAGGUCGCUUUACUCGAUGCAAUUGUGUUCACCAGUUUCGUCUCGUUGCUCUCUUUCCAUAUCAAAAUGCCCACUUAAAGAUUUUCAUCAAUUUAUGAUUAUCAUCAUCAUAAUUAUCAGUUCUGGUUUUGAUGGAUUUCAAAUGGUAAAGAAUGAUGACGAUAAUAACAAAUAAGUUUUUUUGUCAAAACUCUCAUGAACAAAUUGGUCCAAGGUUAGACUGGAGAUAAAAUUGGAUCCAUUAUAUCUCAGUUUGAUACUUUGUUGCUGAAAAAGGUUGCCAUUCGUAUAUAAGACUCUGAAUUAAGAAUGAGAAUCUUGUUUUACUUUUUCUUGGUCACAGUAAUCAUUACUUCAGCAUUUACUUUCCUCUUUUUUACUAUUUUUCAAGAGUUCUUGUGUUUCCCUUGACUUCAGCCAAUUGAUGGUAUAAAUUUUGAACAAUUUAUCUCUAUUCUCUCUUCUCUUCUCUUUUUUACUCUUCUCUUCUGAUUAAAUAGUAAUAUUGGGUAUUUGAUUGGUUGAGAGGUUACUACAAAUUGUUCAAUUUGUUACCUGUAAUAUCAGUUUAACCAUGGGAGAGAUGCUUUAAUAACAGGAAGGUGAAGAUGGAUUCAAUGAUGAUGAAAAAACAACAACAAGUAAAAACAACAAGUCCAAUGGUGAUAAUAAUUUUAUUAUUAUCAACAAAAGAGUUUCAUUGUUUCUGGUUUCUCAAUUAUCAUUGAGUUUUGAAAGAUGGUUUUGCAGCAAGUUUUUUAAGUUAUCACUUGCAACGUUGCCAUUAUUUUACUUUACACAAUCAAUGAUGAAAACGAUGAUUUCUCUGGUUAAAAUGGUUGCUUUAUGCUUUUAACCUGAAAGAUUUAACAAAAUAUACAUAAUUUUUGAAUGAUGAUUCCCACUCGUUGUUGACUCGCUGGUGCUUCGGUUGUUGACCUUAACUUACAUGAGAUCAGGUAUGACAACUUACUGGACCUGACAGUAAUACUUGAAGAGUCAUUGACUUGAGAGAAAGAGGAUGAUGAUGAUGAUGAUGAUGGCAUUGGUGAGCCUGAUGUUACUGAGAAGAGAUGAAGAGUCUUCUAAGUUGCUUAAGUUAAUCCUCAACUAACAGAUGAUUAAUGGGUAAAUCAACCAUGAGGAUAUCAACAUCGCCAUCAACAUCAAAAUCAUCAUCGGCGUCAUCAAUUGUUACUCUUUAAUCUUUAAGUGAAUCUUUAGCAACAGUGAAUUAUGGUCUGUUUGUGUGUUAUAUAUGGAAAGAGAACAGAAACAGAACCAGAUUUAGUUCUUUCUAAUUUCAGUAUUUUGACAGUAUAAUUGUCAUUUAUUUCACCUUGAUAAUCAAGCAAAUUACUUUUCGUUUGUCUGCAAUUUUAUUGUUAUUUGAUUGUCACUUGCUUGUUGGCGGUCAAUUAAUUUGAUUGCAACGCUUUUGAUUCUGUCUCUUUUUUUCACUUUUCACUUGUGAUUCUGUUGCAAAAAUUGAAUUUAACGACUAGUUAAUUAAUUCAAUUGAAUGAUUAACAGUUUAGAGAUGAGCAAACCCGGAGAAAAGGGAAGAACAGAUAAGAGCAAAAAUCUGGUUUACCUGUAAUUGGCCUGGAAAGAGUUAAACGCCAGAUCAGUAUUUUUGUUACUUUUUUUCUUGCAAGAUGCUGCUGAUGACUACUAUUAACAUGAUGAAGAUGAUUAC